ACGAGCCGCGCGCGACGCCGGCGGGGGCGGGGCCUCGGUCGGACCGCGUCGCUUUCCCCGGCCCGGCGGGCGCCGCUCUGCUGCGGCAGCGGCUCGGCUCGGCUCGGCUCGGCUCGGCUCGGCUCUUCAUGCAAUACAACAGCUACGAGCACUGAGAUGAUGUGUGCAAGGAAUCAGAAGUGAAGCAAGAAGCUGAUGGAAGCCCAGAGUUAAAAUCUGAACAGGAUGUACCAGAGACCUCUUCAGCAGCAACUGCUGAAAGAUCUACAUUUGAUCUGGAGCAGUUCCAGCAGCGCUUGUAUAUGUAUGCUACCAAGAUGUCUGAGUACACCUACCCUGUCUACAGAGCAAGAUGUUUUUGCAGUGAUUGAUUACAACAUGCAUUUGAACCGGCAAACUGCACARUCAGCAAAAUCAGUUAAUGCACCAAGACAAGGAGGCUGAUCCCAGAGUCAAUGAGAUUCCUUUGGGUUCAAGGAACUUAUGCUGGUCUGCUAAUUUGCUGCAUGGAAAUACAGAUGGGGCAAGCAAUUGUUUCUUCCUUCUCCUUUGUUAUAG
RNAcentral lists this long non-coding RNA (558 nucleotides) under Apteryx rowi (Okarito brown kiwi). RNAcentral's name for it is "lncRNA (ENSARWG00000008785.1)". Lineage: Eukaryota; Metazoa; Chordata; Aves; Apterygiformes; Apterygidae. The record is from RNAcentral.